This 66-nucleotide transfer RNA is filed under the name Dielis tejensis. RNAcentral describes it as "tRNA-Pro". The record is from RNAcentral. Lineage: Eukaryota; Metazoa; Arthropoda; Insecta; Hymenoptera; Scoliidae.
CAAGAAAUAGUUUAUUAAAAACAUUAAUUUUGGGGAUUAAAAUUAUAAAUUAUUUUAUUUUCUUGA